CUAAUUUUCCUACCCUAGGUUUUCCCUUUUUUAAUUUCUCCAAUUCAAAGACCACUCUCCAAUUUCUCAUACAACUCAUACAGGUCACAAGAGAGACGCUCACCAUAACUCAUAGAAGAACUCCGUGAAGAUACAAUAUGAAAUUUAUUCAACGAUGCUGCAGGAAGAGACCGAAAACGCAGAACUAAGAUCUCUCUUGGAAGACAUCAAGGUAGAAUAUGCUUCAGGACCUUGAAAAGCAAAAACCCUCUGCUUUAAGACUGGUAAGAGCAUCACCAAGACAAGAGUUUGUUCAACUGAUUAAUGAACUCGUUAAGGGUUCAUAAGAGUUUCUCAAUUUGAGCAUCCUGUUUUUGACAAGAUUAUUAAGGUAAGUGUUGAAUUUUUUUGCCGUCUUAAAUAGAAAAUAGUUCAAAUGUUGAGAUAGUAACUUUGAAAAUAUUGAACUGAAUCUCAUAGAGUGGAUCGCAUGGUGCUUUUGUAGUGCUAGUUUAAUGAGCAUUUUAGCUUAAUGGGAAAUAAUGUAGAAAGCAUGUCAUUUUAAAGACAAAAGAGGUCACAUAGCACAAAAUGUUGAUAAAAUUUUCAAUCCUCUUACUGCACUCUCCCUUAAUCCAGAUAAAGUAAUCUGGCAAAUUAGUUUCUUGAAGUGAACCCAUAUCCUAAAGCAUAAAUGGUUAUCAAUGUCCUAAAGCAUAAAAAGUUAUCAAACAGCAAGGCAUCUCAGUUGCAUUUUACCACAGGGCUUUUUGCUGCGUUUCAUACCAUUCUCAUUCACUUGUGUUAUUAUCUCUAAUUUUUCUUUUGAGCAAUUUUAAGGUUCUAAUAUCAUAUUCGUAGAUAACUAUGUGAAUUUUAAAUGAGUUGUUAUCAGCAUAUUUCUAUAGAACCUGUCUAGUUGUACAGCUUUGCACUCAUGUGCCAUGUGCCUGGAUUUCAAGUCUUCUUUUGAUGCUAGUUUCAAUUUGCUUGUUGAUACUGCAAUACUAUUGUAUUAUCUUGUUAAAGGUUAAAACGUUCUUCCUGUUCUAAUAUUGUGAUAAGAAAGUAUUAGGUCUAAUAUCUAGCAAUUAAUAGUUGAAACUAAUUGUUGGAUAUUAAUGUGCGAAGUUGGUAUAUAUCUGAAGGUUAAAUACUUAUAUACAUGUCAUUUGUUGGUUAAGUCUCGAAUGAUGUAGAUAUGUUCGUUUGGAGUUCAAUAACCAGUUUUCUUAAAGACAUGUAAAGGGCGAACAAGAUGGUUAGCUGCAUUCUCGAAGAUGUUCUUUUACUUUUGAGCUGCAAUUUGCGGCUUUAAGUUGCUAUGUAAGUUCUAUCUUAAAGCUCCAUGAACGAGCUGGUGUGAUGUUGUUUUGCACUAUUUUAAGCUGGUUCCAGAGGCGUUUUACAGUUGCCUUUCAAUUGAAUAAGCGAGCCUAUGUUAACCAAGUCUACAAGAGCAAAAGUUGGUCGCAGCCUGAGAAAAGGUAUUGGUGUUUAUUGGAUUCUAAUGCAUCCUACAACUAAAUAUCUCAUCCGCCUUUUGUGAAAUUUCUAUUUAAUUUGGAGUAUUUAUAUGCUUGAACUUUUUCCUAUCUACACAUUAACAAUAGGAGAUAACAUCAAAUGGCUGUAAUCACCCCAACACUAGGAUAAUCUGAUUAAUAAGUCAGCAUUGGCCGGUGGGAGUCGAAGGUAGCAAGUUUCUUUAAGAACAAAGAAACAGAAAAUAAAUGAAGAUUUCAGAGUCAUGUUUAAAGGUGAAGCAAAUGAAUGAAGGAUAGACGAAAGCAUUGAAGAAUUUUCUUAGGAGUAUUGGUUGAUCAUUAUUAGACCUUCAAAUGUUAUAGGAAUUCUUUAUUCUCGAACUUCUUGCUAUAGGAAUUCUUUAUUCUCGAACUUCUUGCUAACUUGUGUAUGCUAACUCUUUAAAUAACAUUGUAUACUUUGUUGUUUUUAUAUAGUUAAUACUAGUUGGAGAUUUGAGGUUC
This is a non-coding RNA of Nicotiana tabacum (common tobacco), 1970 nucleotides long. Lineage: Eukaryota; Viridiplantae; Streptophyta; Magnoliopsida; Solanales; Solanaceae. The record is from RefSeq and is a predicted model, not a curated record.